GUAGUUAAGAUUUAAAGCCUAACUAGCUAUAUGCACGUAGUCGUAACUGAAAGGUUGAUCGACCACAGUGGGCCUGAACAAAGCCCAUGACGAUUGUCACAGCAGUGAGGAAUAUUGGUCAAUAGCCUAACGGCUGAACCAGCAACUUGGAGGAAUGUAUAGCAAUAGCUACUUGCAUCAUUGUAAUAUGAUGUAAGAUCGACUAUGUCGAAUAAAAUUCUAGGUAGAAUUAUGAUAAUGACAUUGUCUGCCUAUGUGUCUUGACCAAAUUACGUGCCAGCAGUCGCGGUAAUACGUAGAAGACUAGUGUUAUUCAUGUUUAAUCGGUUUAAAGGGUACCUAGACGGUAAAUCAAGCCUAAAAUGAAAUAGAUAAAGGGACUAAUUUACUAGAGUUACUUACGAGGGGGUAUUAAAGUACUGCUGGUGUAGAGAUGAAAUCUGUCAUACCUCUUUUCAAUAGAAAAAUAACGGCACAGGUAUAGGCGAAAGCAUCCCCUUAUGUGAUAACUGACGUUGAGGGACGAAGGCUUUGUGUAGCGAACAGGAUUAGAUACCCCAGUAGUCAAAGCAGAAAAUGAUGAAUGUCAUAGAUUAGAUAUAUAAGUUUAUUCUAUAAAUGAAAGUGUAAGCAUUCCACCUCAAGAGUAAUUUGGCAACAUUGGAACUGAAAUCAUUAGACCGUUUCUGAAACCGUAGUGAAGUAUGUUGUUUAAUUUGAUGAUCCGCAAAAAACCUUACCACAAUUUGAAUAUUUAUAUCUUUUAUUG
RNAcentral lists this ribosomal RNA (769 nucleotides) under Flavocetraria cucullata. RNAcentral's name for it is "SSU rRNA". It matches the Rfam family "Bacterial small subunit ribosomal RNA", at positions 248 to 1003 of the family's 1533-position model. The record is from RNAcentral. Lineage: Eukaryota; Fungi; Ascomycota; Lecanoromycetes; Lecanorales; Parmeliaceae.